AAUGAUAAGUAUUCGACGUUAUUCCCUAAACGCCCGCAAUUUCCUGCUGCCUAACAUUAAUAAGCAAGGUCUUUUCGCGUUGAAACCAGCGCUAUCAAAGUCUGUAAACUUGAUUCCGUGACUUCGGCCAGUCUUGGAAAACAUACGCGAAUAUUUGAUAACGUCUAGAAGAAUCACUUGUUAGAGGAUUUUCUUUCAUUCUGCUAUUAUAUAUGGUUCAUAUGUAUAUGACCAGAAAAGAUUUCGUUAUAUGCAGGAUAAUGGGAGCAUCGAUAGAGAAAUGUUAACGACCCCGGUGGUUUUGUACGGAAACCACAGGAAAUUUGAAAUGAAAUUCACGAAAAAUGGACGAAUUCGUGGAGAAGUCAUUUGCUCUCUGAUUUCGAUGAUUUUGAAAUAUGUUGCAAAGCUCAACAACUUUCUCAACAUCUUCUUUCCGAUAUAUAUAAACCAAGGCCGGCCUUAGUUUUCAACUUAUAUAGAAAAAUAUGUCGCUGCUACUCCUACUUUUCAAGCUGCACUGGAAUAUCGUCGUGGGAUGAAAUUCAUUUUUAACAGCCAACCCACAGUAAUAAAAUUGAUGUUGUGAAUUAUCUUGAAACUGAGUGAAAGUGAAAAACUUGAAACUGAGGCAAGGAAAAACCUUGAAAAAAUCUCGUGAUCAUGUAUUUUUCUGCAUAUAACUGCUUUAUAAAUAAUUAAUUACAGUAUAUUAAUAGUAAUUAGUGGAGAAAUUCGUUAGUUGAUAGAGAAGCAUCAUUUCAAAAACGACAGAUACAUCGACAAUUUAUUUAUUGAACUGUAGCAGGCUACUGUUAAUUCAAAUACACAUAAACGAGAUGAUGAUAAGAUUUAAAACAAGUAACAAGUUACUAAGUAGACAGAUGUCACGUUUCAAAUCAUCAAUUUGUCAUAUGAUCUAUCGAUGGAUCAAAAUUUCAGGAUAUACAUAACAUAAAUACGUAUCCAACGGAGCGUAUUAUAUUUGCACAGGUUGUGAAAGAAGAAUGCAAGGAAUCUGCAUAAAGCCGUGACGAUCGAGACUCAUCAGCCAUCGGCGACGAAGGAAUGACGAACCACUCAAAACGUAAAUAUUUUAAUGAAACCUUUAUUAAGACUUUAUCGCGCCAAAGCCAAAUAGUGACUCCGGCAAUACAAACAGGUAAACGUUUUGGCCCGAGAGUCCUCGAAUGCGAAGCACCACCGACCGACGUUUUGUCUUCUCCUUCAUUUUCGUCUAAAACAAGACGAGGAUACAGCGAUCUCUGGCGAUCGUGCAUCAUUAAAAUUACGAAUAGUUCGACGCAAAUACGAAUCAAUCGAUGAGACUUGGAUCGAUACCGCACGAGAAGCUUCGUGGUUGAAGAUGCGUAACAAAUUUUCUGUAGGUCAAAGAGAAAGAAACCAUUUGCUCCAUUCUGUGAUAAUAUUUGCACGAAUGAAAUUUCUGACGAUUCUAAUAAUUUUUAAAGAAGAAACGGAGGAAGACAGAGUCGAAUAUAGAUGUUAACUUCGCUGUAGUCUUUGGAUCAUUUCCCAUUGGAUUCGAUCGCCUUUUCUAUCGAGCAAAGGAUUUCUUAAGUCGAAGGAAAAUAUACAGAAAUCGUGGUAAAGCUGUCCUCCGGAUGUUAAAAGCGUUUUCCCUUCUCGAAAAGAAACAGAAAUUGCGACAUCAAAAUUUGAAGAUCGCGGCAAUUUCGAUAUCGUAAAAAGGACAUUUACGUUUUAUCGUUUCGACCCAUUUCACCAAGUAUAUAAUAUUUCUAUUUUACUAUAUUUUAAUAAUAAAAACACAGAAAUACAUAAACGUGGGUAAAAAUGAUUCGACUGCGAAAUGGAUCAUCGAUUUCGAGGAAGGUAGACAAACCAACUGUCUCGUGCGAACUUUCUUUUUUUGUUUAUCGAUAUCGCCACAAAGCAUCCUGCAUGCGACAGAAUUUACCAAAGGAAAUUACACCGGAUGUCGAUAUCAAUUGGCCAAUUUAUCUUAAAUUAUCUAAAUAGUCAUAAACGCCGGUUCGGUGUUGCACGUUGAGCGACCAACCACGGGUCAAUUCCUCUACCUUAAAUCACAAUGGCGACGACAAGUUUAUUCGUUUACUUUUCUCGUUAAUUGUAUCCUUAAGACUGAUCGUUACGUACGUCUGGAGGCGCUAGUACGCGAGUAACGCGCGUGCACGGACUUCGAGAUCCGUAUACGUGCCGGGUGCAUCGUUCGUCCAUCGUGUCUCUCUCAUUCACGCUGUUAAAUUAUGCGGAAAAUGUUCCCUGUGGCGAAUAUCUUCGUAAACUUAAUUAUAGAAUUAUAAAGAAGACUCUCCCUAACGAAAGGGUCAACACGAUCCUUACGACGUGGCUCGUGUCAAUUGUCGCGGAGCGUGAAAGAUUGCAAGAUUUCUCGAAUUAGAAAGCGCUUAAGAAACGUACAAAGAAAGAUUAAAGCGUAAUAAUAUAUUAUUAAUUUCGUAACUUGAAUAUCGUUACACGCAAUGUCGUUAUAUAUUCUACGGAAAGUUGAAAAUCUAUAGAUAUUUUUCGUAUGUCUACCAGAGACUGGAGAAAUCAUGACGGUGAAGAAACUAGGAAAAAUCGUUCGUUCAAAAUCGAUCACCGAUUUAUUACAUCGUCGAAGAAUUAAUUAGACAUCGUGACGAUAAAACGUGUUUCGCUCAAAUUAAUUCGCGGCACGGAACACGUUAAGAAAUAAGUCUAUGACUCGCGUGCGUGAUCCUGUCAUAAAAUUCCAUCGAAAUUUUUUAAUCUUUCUUGAUCUUCCAACAAAGAGCGAAUAAAUUAAACGCUGAUUUUCAUGAUCGUUCGACCACAGGGAACAUCAUCGAACCUUCGCACGUACGUCGAGAGGCGCAUCGACGGCCGCAUUUCAAUUGUAUUAAUCUAAAGUUACGAACAGUCGACGAUCUUUGGGACGGUGUUAAGGAUCAGCGUCGCGACGCCUCUCGAUCGAACUGCGUGUCGCGCGAAAUCGUUCAAGUGUUAGCGAUGCACCGAAAGGGGUUGUUGCUUCGACAGCUUCGGCGUCUCGUGUUUUCUAGCGUCUUUAGAAUUCGUUUCGAAGUCGUUGUGAUCGCUCAUUUAAAAUACGAAUAUUUAUCUGUAUAUAAAAUUCGCAAUUUUUCGUUGUCCAUUUAUUUAGGCCUACGGUUUUUCACAUUUUCCGAAUAUAGGCCUGCUCGCGUUUCCUCUCUAAAGCAGCAUUUUUGUUCGCUUUACGCCAGGGAACAUUAUGGAAGCAACAGUGGCAAAAGAUAAAAGGACGAAAGAUAAAGUUAACGUAUGAUACGAACUAUUGAAAAACUAUGUUAUCCGAUACGAUUGCGGAGAUAAAGCUGGUUGAUAAUUCUUUAGCGGAGAGAUAUUGGAGGAAUUUAGUAGAAGACAGAGAGGAUCGUAUCGAAAUUGCUGAAAAAAGGACUACCGAAGAAU
This is a long non-coding RNA of Bombus pyrosoma, 3444 nucleotides long. RefSeq lists it as uncharacterized. Lineage: Eukaryota; Metazoa; Arthropoda; Insecta; Hymenoptera; Apidae. The record is from RefSeq and is a predicted model, not a curated record. The transcript has 3 exons.